UAGCUCAGUGGCAUAGAGCCUGCCUGGCAAGCAGGAGGUCCUGAGUUCGAUCCUCAG
This 57-nucleotide transfer RNA is filed under the name Heterocephalus glaber (naked mole-rat). It matches the Rfam family "tRNA", at positions 8 to 63 of the family's 71-position model. From Rfam's summary of the family: Transfer RNA (tRNA) molecules are approximately 80 nucleotides in length. Lineage: Eukaryota; Metazoa; Chordata; Mammalia; Rodentia; Bathyergidae. The record is from Rfam by way of RNAcentral.